RNAcentral lists this ribosomal RNA (807 nucleotides) under uncultured Caryophanales bacterium. Its description in RNAcentral is "bacterial SSU rRNA". It matches the Rfam family "Bacterial small subunit ribosomal RNA", at positions 43 to 827 of the family's 1533-position model. The record is from RNAcentral. Lineage: Bacteria; Bacillati; Bacillota; Bacilli; Caryophanales.
CGGGUGCUAUAAUGCAGUCGAGCGGACAGAUGGGAGCUUGCUCCCUGAUGUUAGCGGCGGACGGGUGAGUAACACGUGGGUAACCUGCCUGUAAGACUGGGAUAACUCCGGGAAACCGGGGCUAAUACCGGAUGGUUGUUUGAACCGCAUGGUUCAAACAUAAAAGGUGGCUUCGGCUACCACUUACAGAUGGACCCGCGGCGCAUUAGCUAGUUGGUGAGGUAACGGCUCACCAAGGCAACGAUGCGUAGCCGACCUGAGAGGGUGAUCGGCCACACUGGGACUGAGACACGGCCCAGACUCCUACGGGAGGCAGCAGUAGGGAAUCUUCCGCAAUGGACGAAAGUCUGACGGAGCAACGCCGCGUGAGUGAUGAAGGUUUUCGGAUCGUAAAGCUCUGUUGUUAGGGAAGAACAAGUACCGUUCGAAUAGGGCGGUACCUUGACGGUACCUAACCAGAAAGCCACGGCUAACUACGUGCCAGCAGCCGCGGUAAUACGUAGGUGGCAAGCGUUGUCCGGAAUUAUUGGGCGUAAAGGGCUCGCAGGCGGUUUCUUAAGUCUGAUGUGAAAGCCCCCGGCUCAACCGGGGAGGGUCAUUGGAAACUGGGGAACUUGAGUGCAGAAGAGGAGAGUGGAAUUCCACGUGUAGCGGUGAAAUGCGUAGAGAUGUGGAGGAACACCAGUUGGCGAAAGGCGACUCUCUGGUCUGUAACUGUACGCUGAGGAGCGAAAGCGUGUGGAGCGAACAGGAUUAGAUACUCUGGGUAGGUCCACGCCCGUAAACGAUGAAUUGCUAAGUGGUUAA